RNAcentral lists this unclassified non-coding RNA (325 nucleotides) under Hevea brasiliensis (rubber tree). Lineage: Eukaryota; Viridiplantae; Streptophyta; Magnoliopsida; Malpighiales; Euphorbiaceae. The record is from RNAcentral.
GAGAUCAAUAAAAUUUAAAUAGAAAUAACGAAAAAUAGAACAAAUAGAAGAAUAAUUUGAAAGCAUUCAAUGAUAAAAAAAAAAGUUUGAUGAUUCUCAAAUUAUACAAAAUACUUACUAUUUAUAGAUAAGAUGAUAAAGGAAAUUUUAAUUGAAAAAAUUCUGUUACGCCAUAAUAGCAAAUAAGUUGCAAAUAAAAACCAAUAAAUGUGAUUGAAAUUGUGUGCAAGAUAACACUAUUUUUUUUAAUACUUUAUGUUAUAAUUUUCCAAAGUUUAAAGUUACAUCUGAAUUGAGCAAACCAUCCAAAAAAUUGUUGCUCAGA